GGCAAGAUGGCCGAGCGGUCCAAGGCGUGUGACUCAAGCGAAAGCUUACCUGAUCUUCAGGUUUCUCAUCGGUUUACACCGGCAGGGGUUCGAAUCCCCUUCUUGUCA
This is a non-coding RNA of Artomyces pyxidatus, 108 nucleotides long. NCBI's taxonomy places the organism in Eukaryota, Fungi, Basidiomycota, Agaricomycetes, Russulales, Auriscalpiaceae. The record is from the annotation of a GenBank genome assembly.